RNAcentral lists this long non-coding RNA (1006 nucleotides) under Struthio camelus australis. RNAcentral describes it as "lncRNA (ENSSCUG00000016076.1)". The record is from RNAcentral. Lineage: Eukaryota; Metazoa; Chordata; Aves; Struthioniformes; Struthionidae.
CUCAUUUGGAAAUAGAUGGCAUACAACUGAGAACUUUAUUUAAAACUUGCUGUAGCUUUAGCGUAGUUGUUUUGAGGUGCGUGUUUGAAAUUCUCGAUUGUAGCUCUAGACUCUACUUCACAAUGGUGGAUGAGACAGAAGAUAUUGAUGUCUUCCAGGACCGCACAGAAACCAGAUCUUGCACUAGGGAGGAAGUGUCCAAGAUUAUCGGCUGGCAGUUGUGUUCUGAAAUGUUGUAUCCUGACUCAGCCAGUGGUUUGCCUUUCCCCUUUACUGGACCUCUGAGAGUGUCUGUCACAUUAACUAAGCAAGACAGAGGCCUGCAGCAAUACCUUGUGGAAGCAGCAUAUAGCUAUAUUCCUCGGGUAAUUCCUCAUUAUGUCAUGCUUUACUUUGGCUUUGGUAAAUUUUUUUAGUUUACUUAUACUGAUGAAAGAAUGGUACAUCUCAGUACUGUAUAUUCAACUUAGCUAAUUUUCAGGGUCUGCAUUGUUGUUAUUGUUCCCAUUCCUAUUAAAGUGGGAAAAGAUAUAGAAAAAAGUUACAGAUGCCAAUAGUGGGUAAAUAUUAUUAUCCAUAUACAGGAAUAUUAAGACAUUUGCAUGGAUAAAACUGAUAGAGCUGGAAAUAGAGCCCCACCUCACUUUGACUUGUUUCUAUUUGUUACAACAAAAAACAUCAAUUCACAUUAACCGCUUUAACAAUUAGAAUGAAAUAACUAACUAAGUUCAAUUAGAAGGAGUGGGUCUUUUUUACCUUCUGCAAGAGACAGCAAGGAUUUAGGGCUUUUUCUAAAAUGAUGCACUCGGUGUCUGGGGACAGUUUCUGGAGCUCCUCCUUUACUCUUUCAAGAUUAUCUUUGAUAUCUUUUGAGUUGAAACAGAUUGUGGGAAACUGCAAAGAGAAAGAAGGGGUAAAGCCCCAAGCCAACCUUUCAGUCCUGAAAUAACCUCAUUGUUUUGAACAGAAUCAAAUCCAAGAUUCACAUACUCCUGUCCAACAGGUG